RNAcentral lists this microRNA (22 nucleotides) under Canis lupus familiaris (dog). Its description in RNAcentral is "Cfa-Novel-18_3p (mature (co-guide))". Lineage: Eukaryota; Metazoa; Chordata; Mammalia; Carnivora; Canidae. The record is from RNAcentral.
UGCGCCUGAAGUCUCCAGAUAC